AGAUUUCACUGGGGGUGUCCACGCUGUGGGCUGAGAUUAAGGCAAAUGUGCUUUUAAACCCUUUGGACCUGAUCUGGCUCAUACCAGCGUAGGGAAGUAUAUCCGAACGACU
Molecule: non-coding RNA, 112 nt
Filed under: Wohlfahrtiimonas chitiniclastica
Lineage: Bacteria; Pseudomonadati; Pseudomonadota; Gammaproteobacteria; Cardiobacteriales; Ignatzschineriaceae
Also listed under: 1 other name
Description: TPP sequence
Rfam family: TPP riboswitch aptamer (THI element)
About the family: Vitamin B(1) in its active form thiamin pyrophosphate (TPP) is an essential coenzyme that is synthesised by coupling of pyrimidine and thiazole moieties in bacteria. The previously detected thiamin-regulatory element, thi box was extended, resulting in a new, highly conserved RNA secondary structure, the THI element, which is widely distributed in eubacteria and also occurs in some archaea.
Source: RNAcentral